RNAcentral lists this long non-coding RNA (463 nucleotides) under Homo sapiens (human). RNAcentral's name for it is "non-protein coding ADNP-AS1:5". The record is from RNAcentral. Lineage: Eukaryota; Metazoa; Chordata; Mammalia; Primates; Hominidae.
GGCGGGCGGCGGCGGCGUCGUCGAGCGACAAUACAAGCGCCUCGGACCGAGUCCCCGAACCUGCCCUAGCCAAAAUGGCGGCCGAGAAAGAGCGGAAGUGACGUUAAAGAGGCUUUUGUAUACUGGAGAUAUAACCAAAAAAGGUCUAAGGUGACUUUACGCAGAGAUUGAAGGAUGAGCAGCAGAUGGUCAUCAAGGAGCAUGGAAACAGCAUUUCAGGCAAAGGAAAAUGGAACUCUGUGAACUCAGAAGCAUGCUAUGGCAUGGAAAGCAAAAAGGAAGGAGCACAAGGCAGAGGUCAGAAAGGGAGGCAGGGGCCAACAAACACAUAGGGGCUUGAGGGACAAGGGAAGGAACUUGGAUUUUUCCCUAGAUGUUAGUGGGAACUCCCUGAACUCCCUGAACUGGAGGGACAAUAAUCUGAUUCUGUUUUUAUGUAUCUAGCUUAAACUCAGAACAGCUU